GACGUAGGGCGCGAGCGUUGUCCGGAUUUAUUGGGCGUAAAGGGCUCGUAGGCGGUUGAUUGCGUCCGCCGUGAAAGGCCUCGGCUUAACCGGGGUUUUGCGGUGGAUACGGGUCGACUUGAGGCAAUUAGGGGAGAUCGGAAUUCUACGUGUAGCGGUGAAAUGCGCAGAUAUGUGGAGGAACACCGGUGGCGAAGGCGGAUCUCUGGGAUUGUUCUGACGCUGAGGAGCGAAAGCGUGGGGAGCGAACAGGAUUAGAAACCCCCGUAGUCC
RNAcentral lists this ribosomal RNA (273 nucleotides) under uncultured bacterium. RNAcentral's name for it is "partial 16S ribosomal RNA". It matches the Rfam family "Bacterial small subunit ribosomal RNA", at positions 524 to 796 of the family's 1533-position model. The record is from RNAcentral.